RNAcentral lists this long non-coding RNA (1341 nucleotides) under Crocodylus porosus (Australian saltwater crocodile). RNAcentral describes it as "lncRNA (ENSCPRG00005007947.1)". The record is from RNAcentral. Lineage: Eukaryota; Metazoa; Chordata; Crocodylia; Crocodylidae.
GUCAGGUCAGAGCUAGGAAUAACAUCAUAUCCCACAUUCCUGCUUCUAAUGACUGAUCAUUACUUUAAAAUACCCAGGGAUUUGGUUCUUACGCUAAAAUCAUCUUCUCUACAAAUGGUUUCCUAACAAGAGCCACCAAACAGAUGUUGGGUUCUGCUGAACCAGAUCAUAUUCCUAGUGAUCAGUCAGGUGAAUCUGAAGCUUCUAUUUUUGUGGGGUCCAGUGAAUCUCAGCGAACCCUAUCUGAAUAUCCUUACCCUAGCUGCUUCCUGAACCCUGCUAGAAGUGCAGCUGACAACAUAGUCUCUUAGGCAGCUGUUCCUAUGGCCGAUCCCAUGAAGAAACCUGUAGUCAAGCCCUGACUUGAAGACCCAAGAUAUGAGGAUGGUUCAGAGAGGAUUCAAGGGGGCUGGAUUAAAACAGGAUCUGGACACCAUAUUUCUAGGAGGCAUAGACCAAAUGAUUGAGACUGAUGGUGGGUAGCAAGUGCAGCACAUAUUUCACGACUCCAUGAAGCCACGGACUGGAUUGUCUCUCUUGGGAUGAAACUCACAGACCCAGAAGGAAAAAGAGAGUCCACUGUAGUAAACUGAGAAAAUUCACUCAUAGGGGAAGACUGAAGCCUGAGAUCUUUUGGUAGGGCCAGACAGUUUUUUGGAUCCAGCUCCCACCUGGUGCAAAUAAUGUCCUGAUUCCAUCUGAACUUUCUGGGAUUUACCCAAAUACACUCUUACUAUAAUGUACAUCCCCACCCCCUCCACACACACACACUCAGUCUUGUAUCUUGCAAGUAAAAACAGCAGCUGUCUUUAAAUAUCCUCCUUUCUGGCUGCCCUCCUGUCCACAAUGACAGGGUAGAAGACUCAAACAUCAGGGUUUAAACCAAUCUCUACUUCUGGGAAUUAGAAAGGGACUUCAUGGGGUCAGAUUAUCUGAUAGGUGCCAAAGGUAAGGCUCUCUGUACUAUAGUCUAAAGCACCUGGUCCUAGUCACUACAUAUGAAACAGACUACUGAAUUAUCUGGACCAGAGAUCUGAUCUAGGAUGAGAAUCCUUCUGUUCCUAUGACAGUUUGUAAGAGUCCUGCUCCAGCCACCAGAUCCUUAGCCAACAGCAGUAUUAUUGGGUGGGUGCUCUUCUGUUUCUGACCCACAGAGAAGACUGGAACUUCCCCUGGCAGAGCACUGUGUCCAAACUUUCCCAGGCCUGUUCAUCUGUAGGGAAGGUUAUGUUCUCUUUAUAUGCAUAUAUAUAUAUUGCUACUGCAGCUGCUAUUGUUCCUGAAUUGUUUUUUUUCUUAUUAAAUUAUGGAGGAUCUGAAUCAGAAUAAAUCUUCCUUUCC